GUCCCUGGCCAUACCAACCCUGAAUGUGCCCAGGCUCAAUCUUGGAAGCUAGGCAGGCUCGGGCCUGGCUAGUACUUAGAUGGGAGACGCAACUUAAGGAACACUUUGUUUUAGCUCCUGGUUUCAGAGAGA
Molecule: ribosomal RNA, 132 nt
Filed under: Jaculus jaculus (lesser Egyptian jerboa)
Lineage: Eukaryota; Metazoa; Chordata; Mammalia; Rodentia; Dipodidae
Source: RNAcentral